AUUGAACGCUGGCGGCAUGCUUUACACAUGCAAGUCGAACGGUAACAGGCCUUCGGGUGCUGACGAGUGGCGAACGGGUGAGUAAUGCAUCGGAACGUACCCAGAGGUGGGGGAUAACGCAGCGAAAGCUGUGCUAAUACCGCAUGUGAUCUGAGGAUGAAAGCGGGGGACCGAGCAGCAAUGUUUGGCCUCGCGCCUUUGGAGCGGCCGAUGUCGGAUUAGCUAGUUGGUGGGGUAAAGGCCUACCGAGGCGACGAUCCGUAGCUGGUCUGAGAGGACGACCAGCCACACUGGGACUGAGACACGGCCCAGACUCCUACGGGAGGCAGCGGUGGGGAAUUUUGGACAAUGGGCGCAAGCCUGAUCCAGCAAUGCCGCGUGCGGGAAGAAGGCCUUCGGGUUGUAAACCGCUUUUGGCAGGAACGAAACGGUGUCCGCUAAUACCGGGCGCUAAUGACGGUACCGGCAGAAUAAGCACCGGCUAACUACGU
RNAcentral lists this ribosomal RNA (491 nucleotides) under uncultured bacterium. Its description in RNAcentral is "partial 16S ribosomal RNA". It matches the Rfam family "Bacterial small subunit ribosomal RNA", at positions 29 to 506 of the family's 1533-position model. The record is from RNAcentral.